RNAcentral lists this long non-coding RNA (210 nucleotides) under Elaeis guineensis (African oil palm). RNAcentral describes it as "long non-coding RNA (EGUI_LNC025973)". Lineage: Eukaryota; Viridiplantae; Streptophyta; Magnoliopsida; Arecales; Arecaceae. The record is from RNAcentral.
CUCUAGGAUAUGAUUUUAUACUUAUUGGGCAGUUAUAUUAUCAUUCAUGUUUAUGUGUCCAUAAAUUAUCCAAGAGAUUAACAAGAUGAUGACAUAUAUUCUCAAAGAGUUAAAAAUUUGAAACAUGUAUUAUUGAUGGUUAAUUCCUAAAUUACUCCUGAUCAUAGGAUCAUCAUGGGGAUGGUGAUUGAUCUGGAUAGAUCAGUGCAU